Vidua chalybeata is the source of this 617-nucleotide long non-coding RNA. RefSeq lists it as uncharacterized. The record is from RefSeq and is a predicted model, not a curated record. The transcript has 4 exons. NCBI's taxonomy places the organism in Eukaryota, Metazoa, Chordata, Aves, Passeriformes, Viduidae.
CUUCUCAGCUCAGCAGUUUCAGUGAUGAGAAGAUGAUGUGUACUCAGCAAUUUGAAGAAGAGAUUCACUUUUAGUGUCCUCAUUUGGAUGACCAGAAAUCCCAGUAACUUUAUAAAGAAGAAGAGAUGAAGCAUGAAGAAAAUGGGCGGAUGAGAUUCAGAAUAUUAAUAAGAAAUGAGGCGUGUUGAACUGUUUCCAGGUGGCAGAUGGUGAAGGAUCCCACUCUCAUGUUGGCUAGAUCUGCAACUGGCUGGAAAGCAGCUUUUCUUCUGUGUUGUGUGAUCUGUCAUGGGAAUUCUCAGACAGAAAAGAAAAGCUGCUCAGGAGAGCUGCUGACCUCCACUGCUGCCUUCUGGAAGUCUGUGUGUGCCAGUGGCCCCGGGGGAGACCCUGAGCACCCUGUGCUUGGAAGGAGGAGGUGCAGAGGCAGCACCCAGAAAUGUCUGAACUCUGCAAAGGAUUGGAGCAGGUGACCCAUGUGUCCCAAAACAGCUUUACAGAGGAUGUGCCAGUCUGGGGAUCCAUCUCUACCUGAGAAGAAGUAGGAGAAAUCAUGAUAUUUACCCUGUAGAGAACAGCACCUGCUCAGUGUUGCUGGAUAUUCUUUGUUCUGAUGA